This 433-nucleotide ribosomal RNA is filed under the name uncultured bacterium. Its description in RNAcentral is "partial 16S ribosomal RNA". It matches the Rfam family "Bacterial small subunit ribosomal RNA", at positions 29 to 507 of the family's 1533-position model. The record is from RNAcentral.
AACGAACGCUGGCGGCAUGCCUAACACAUGCAAGUCGAACGAGACCUUCGGGUCUAUUGUCGCACGGGUUCGUAACGCGUGGGAACCUGCCCUUAGGUUCGGAAUAACUCCCCGAAAGGGGUGCUAAUACCGGAUAAUGUCUUCGGACCAAAGAUUUAUCGCCUUUGGAUGGGCCCGCGUUGGAUUAGCUAGUUGGUAGGGUAAAAGCCUACCAAGGCGACGAUCCAUAGCUGGUCUGAGAGGAUGAUCAGCCACACUGGGACUGAGACACGGCCCAGACUCCUACGGGAGGCAGCAGUGGGGAAUAGUGGACAAUGGGCGAAAGCCUGAUCCAGCAAGGCCGCGUGAGUGAUGAAGGCCGUAGGGUUGUAAAGCGCUUUUACCCGGGAUGAUAAUGACAGUACCGGGAGAAUAAGCUCCGGCUAACUACGUG